This 501-nucleotide ribosomal RNA is filed under the name uncultured Achromobacter sp. Its description in RNAcentral is "bacterial SSU rRNA". It matches the Rfam family "Bacterial small subunit ribosomal RNA", at positions 1 to 495 of the family's 1533-position model. The record is from RNAcentral. Lineage: Bacteria; Pseudomonadati; Pseudomonadota; Betaproteobacteria; Burkholderiales; Alcaligenaceae.
UACGCCAAGGAGUUUGGACCUGGCUCAGAUUGAACGCUAGCGGGAUGCCUUACACAUGCAAGUCGAACGGCAGCACGGACUUCGGUCUGGUGGCGAGUGGCGAACGGGUGAGUAAUGUAUCGGAACGUGCCCAGUAGCGGGGGAUAACUACGCGAAAGCGUAGCUAAUACCGCAUACGCCCUACGGGGGAAAGCAGGGGAUCGCAAGACCUUGCACUAUUGGAGCGGCCGAUAUCGGAUUAGCUAGUUGGUGGGGUAACGGCUCACCAAGGCGACGAUCCGUAGCUGGUUUGAGAGGACGACCAGCCACACUGGGACUGAGACACGGCCCAGACUCCUACGGGAGGCAGCAGUGGGGAAUUUUGGACAAUGGGGGAAACCCUGAUCCAGCCAUCCCGCGUGUGCGAUGAAGGCCUUCGGGUUGUAAAGCACUUUUGGCAGGAAAGAAACGUCAUGGGUUAAUACCCCGUGAAACUGACGGUACCUGCAGAUAUAAGCACCG